GAAGUUGGAAUUGCUAGUAAUGGCAGGUCAGCAUACUGCCGUGAAUACGUUCCCGGGCCCUUGUACACACCGCCCGUCACACCAUGAGAGUUGGAGAUACCCGAAGCCUGUGAGCUAACUUUUUAAGAGGCAGCAGUCGAAGGUAGAAUCAAUGAUUGGGGUGAAGUCGUAACAAGGUAGC
This 181-nucleotide ribosomal RNA is filed under the name uncultured bacterium. RNAcentral's name for it is "partial 16S ribosomal RNA". It matches the Rfam family "Bacterial small subunit ribosomal RNA", at positions 1322 to 1500 of the family's 1533-position model. The record is from RNAcentral.